Molecule: RNA transcript, 1826 nt
Organism: Amphiprion ocellaris (clown anemonefish)
Lineage: Eukaryota; Metazoa; Chordata; Actinopteri; Pomacentridae
Exons: 5
Source: RefSeq, a predicted model, not a curated record
GGAAGCAGCAGCAGAAGAAGAAACUCACAAGUCCAGAGAUCGUCAACGAGACCAGAGAGCUCAUCAAUACUCGAUAAGAACAGCUGAUCAGUUUGUUACUGCGAUGACUUCACUGCGGCAGGUGAUUGGACUUCACUGAUAAUCAAUAACUGAUACUGUAGGACUUCAGUGAGGAUAGCUUGGUGCUACAGGUGAUCAGAGCACACAGAUAAUCAAUAAUCAAUCCUGUGUGACGUCAGUGAGGACCACCAGCUGCUAUCAGGUGAUCAGAGCACACAGAUAAUCAAUAAUCGAUAGGUUGUGAGUUGGGAUGGCAGCGGCGCUGCAGCUGCCCGCCGAGCUGUGGCUGCAGGUGUUCAGCUUCCUGUCCUGGAGAGACAAACUGAGCAUGCGCUGCACCUGUUCGCACUUCAGACACCUGGUGGAUAAGUCCCGCCCCCUGUGGCGCGGCUUCAGCGUGGUGCUGCGACACUUUUCCCGCUACAACCGUCCGUUCUGGCGCAGCCUGGCUCAGCGGCACGUGGGCAGCGUGUCUCUGCGCUCAGGUAAGAAGAAGGACCUGAAGCAGUUGUCCACCUGGCUGCCUGCCUUGGACGCGCUGCGAUUGGACGACUGGAGGGAAGGGGGCGUCGACGAGCUGAAACAGUUCCGCCAGCUGCAGCAUCUGUCCGUCACUUCCUGUUCAACACCGCUGAAGAACCCAGACUUCCUGUUGUCUCUGCGCCACCAGCUGACGCAGCUCAGCCUCUGUAACAUCCAGCUCACCUGUCCGGCCCCUCACCUGUUGGCCGCCGUCAGUCAGCUGACCCGCCUCACCUCCCUGCAGCUGCAUCACGACGGCAGUCUGAGGUUCCCGACGCUCAGCGGCGUCCUGAGUCACCUGACUGAGCUCAGACACCUGUCCUGGACCAUGAUCACCUACAAAACACUGUCACAUGACUUCUUUAGCCCCGCCCACCACCGAGCAGGUGACACUGUUCUGCAGCUGUCUGACCUGCAGCUGUUGAAUUACGACGCCAUGGUAACAGAGGAAACGCUGCAGCCUUUGUCCCGCCUCCGCAGCCUGUCAAUCUUCCACCUGUAUUCCGUACCUGGACCCACUUGCCACCUGAGAACGUGGCUGACGUCACUGCAGCAGCUGUGCAGCCUCAGCAUCCACGGAGGCCACCCCCUGGCGGUGUACGCUGACUGCCUGCCGUCCUCCCUCCUCAGUCUGACCCUCUGUGUGGACCUGCAGCCUGAAGACCUGCAGCUGGUCUCCAUCAGAGCGCCUCACCUGGAACACCUGCACCUGGAGCCCUGGAGCUCCUCCUCCAACCUUGUCAGACUCCUCCCACAGCUGUUCCCUCACCUGAGGACGCUGCGGAUCAGACACCAACACGUGUCGGACGAGGACUUCCUGUGUCUGCAGCAGCUGCAGCAGCUUCACACUCUGGAGGUUCUGGACUCGUACUACAGACCCGACCCGACGGACCCCAGCUGGGUCGUCUACCAGCCCAGUCCUCGUCUGCUGCAGCUGAGUGCCGACCUUCAGCGACGCACCAGUCACAGAGUCCGAGUCGUCACCAGCUCACACAGAGACCCGCUCACCUGCGACUGUGUCUGACCAAUCAGCAGCCUGAUCACUUGAACACGUUUCCAGCCGUUUAUUGCUUUGCCAGCUGCCAUCACAGAUGCAUGAUGGUUAAUGAUGCUGCCACCACCAUGCUUCACAUCAUGAUGCUGCCACCACCGUGCUUCAAUCUAGAUGGUGUGUUUGUGACGUUUAGUGUGUUUUCCUGGUGAGAUUCACUAAAAUAAACCAUUUUAAACUUCUGAUCAGUCGA